This is a long non-coding RNA of Esox lucius (northern pike), 1447 nucleotides long. NCBI's taxonomy places the organism in Eukaryota, Metazoa, Chordata, Actinopteri, Esociformes, Esocidae. The record is from Ensembl.
CUUCAGAAUAAUUACCCAGAGAAAAAUUACCUUGAGUCGAAGGAGCUAGUUGGGAUGGUGCCGGUUCAGAUAAAGGUUCUGAGGGUGAUGCUGGUUCAGAUGAAGGUUCUGAGGGUGGUGCUGAUUCAGAUAAAGGUUCUGAGGGUGGUGCUGGUUCAGAUCCAGGUCCUGGUGUGGCAGGUUGAAUUGGACCUGCUGGUUGAGCUGGCACUGGAGGAGGUUGAUAAGCUUGAUAAACAGGGGGAUUUUGAUAAAGUUGUCCAGGUGCAGGUGUAGGUGCUGGUUGAACUGGAGCCACUGGUUGAGCUGACACUGGUUGAGCCGACACUGGUGGAGCCGACACUGGUUGAGCUGAUACUGGUUGAGCCGACAUUGGUUGAGCUGACACUGGUUGAGCUGAUACUGGUUGAGCUGAUACUGGUUGAGCUGGAGAGGCUUGAUAAGCUUGAUAAGCUGGAGGAACUGGAGGAUAAAAUGGCUGCUGAGCUGGAUGUGCUGUGAGAAUGGGCAGUGGAGAUCAAAAGUUGUAAAUUCAAACAGACUGAGAUGACUAAUCUAAUUUUAGGCUAUGUAACUAUAGACGAAACCUGUGAAUCAAACAGAUUAGAAUGGAAAAAAUAAAUAGGCCAGAUUCUAUGAUGAUAUUUUAAAAUAUGGGGAAACAAGCAAAUUAAUCCUUAUAAAGGUCUCAUUGAUCCACGGUUUCACAAGUAAUGUGGUUGAAAUGUAAAGUAAAAGGUGGAUGUAAAAAAGGCUUUGAAGUGGAUAUGUCUCGCUCAGCCUUACAAACUACAGUGCAGAGGUUUACCUGGUCUAGCCCACUGGUCAGGAGAAACUCCAGACGUAAAUAACAACACAAAGCUCUAAAGACAAAUAUCACCAACGUAUAACAAUUGUUAACGUUAGCAAUGAAUAACUGGAAAAAAAGGUAAAUAAGACCAAGUACCUGUUACAGUUGAAGGUGGGAAUGGAGUGUCUGUGAAUAUAUGGUGCACUGAAAGACAAAUGGAUUCAGUAUAGUCUGAUGUAAUACAAUGGUUAUAUACUCAACAUACAGAAUAUAAUAGCUAUACCACAUUUGGAUUCUUUGUUUAUUUUUAUUUUUUUAUGUGUGUAACUUAGCGGGAUUUAAAUUGAUUUAAAUGUAAGUUCAUGGUGGAAGUGGAAAUUCCAUUAAAGGUUUUUUGAUAUUAAUGACGCAAAUAUAUUAUGAUUGAUUCACCCACAUUUAAUACAUUUUAGAAAAUACUUCUUGCAAUGAUUACAGCUGUUAUUUUAGGACUGUCUUAAACAGUAAUAUAAAGAUGUACUGGUCAACAAUCAGCCCCGAGAUGAGGAAGUAUUACACAGUUUAUUCAGGAGAGUGUUGGUGUGUACUUACAGUACCAGCCAGGGAGUGAUGAUGGCCAGUAAACUGGUGCUGGUUGACAGGUAGGAACUGGAAAAU